UUCCGCCUGAAAAUCUUUUAUUUGUAUUUACCAGCAAGAUUUUAUAUUAUUUUAUUUUUCCGUUCCUACAAAAAAUCUUAUAUUUGUAUUUCCACGGUCAAAACUUUUUUACAGGAAUCCUCAGGUUUUUAUCUUUCCUGUAUAAGGUCUAGUCCGUUUGGUAUCAUGUGAGCAUUUGACAUGAAUACUUGCAUUUAGAGUUUCAAAGCAUUUGUUUGGAAAUCGAUGUUAAAAGCUUUGAAAAGCUUGAUAUGAGGAACGUUACUCUGUGUCUUAAUACUUCAAG
This 286-nucleotide long non-coding RNA is filed under the name Mytilus galloprovincialis (Mediterranean mussel). Lineage: Eukaryota; Metazoa; Mollusca; Bivalvia; Mytilida; Mytilidae. The record is from RNAcentral.